This 497-nucleotide ribosomal RNA is filed under the name uncultured bacterium. RNAcentral's name for it is "partial 16S ribosomal RNA". It matches the Rfam family "Bacterial small subunit ribosomal RNA", at positions 28 to 507 of the family's 1533-position model. The record is from RNAcentral.
GAUGAACGCUGGCGGCGUGCCUAAUACAUGCAAGUCGAGCGAACAGACGAGGAGCUUGCUCCUCUGACGUUAGCGGCGGACGGGUGAGUAACACGUGGAUAACCUACCUAUAAGACUGGGAUAACUUCGGGAAACCGGAGCUAAUACCGGAUAAUAUAUUGAACCGCAUGGUUCAAUAGUGAAAGACGGUUUUGCUGUCACUUAUAGAUGGAUCCGCGCCGCAUUAGCUAGUUGGUAAGGUAACGGCUUACCAAGGCAACGAUGCGUAGCCGACCUGAGAGAGUGAUCGGCCACACUGGAACUGAGACGCGGUCCAGACUCCUACGAGAGGCAGCAGUAGGGAAUCUUCCGCAAUGGGCGAAAGCAUGACGGAGCAACGCCGCGUGAGUGAUGAAGGUCUUCGGAUCGUAAAACUCUGUUAUUAGGGAAGAACAAAUGUGUAAGUAACUAUGCACGUCUUGACGGUACCUAAUCAGAAAGCCACGGCUAACUACGUG